This 71-nucleotide transfer RNA is filed under the name Deltaproteobacteria bacterium. RNAcentral's name for it is "tRNA-Gln". It matches the Rfam family "tRNA". From Rfam's summary of the family: Transfer RNA (tRNA) molecules are approximately 80 nucleotides in length. Their secondary structure includes four short double-helical elements and three loops (D, anti-codon, and T loops). Further hydrogen bonds mediate the characteristic L-shaped molecular structure. tRNAs have two regions of fundamental functional importance: the anti-codon, which is responsible for specific mRNA codon recognition, and the 3' end, to which the tRNAs corresponding amino acid is attached (by aminoacyl-tRNA synthetases). tRNAs cope with the degeneracy of the genetic code in two manners: having more than one tRNA (with a specific anti-codon) for a particular amino acid; and 'wobble' base-pairing, i.e. permitting non-standard base-pairing at the 3rd anti-codon position. The record is from RNAcentral. Lineage: Bacteria; Pseudomonadati; Myxococcota; Myxococcia.
AGUCCCAUGGUGUAAUGGUAACACCCCUGAUUUUGGUUCAGGUAUUUAAGGUUCGAAUCCUUAUGGGACUG